AGAGAAUGUGGUAUGUGCCCUGGGCCUGAUCGUGGGUCUGGUGGGCAUCAUUGUUGGAGCCAUCUUCAUCAUCAAGGGCAUGCACAAGGUCAAUGCUGGUGAACGCCGGGGGCCUCUGUGAGGCAUCCACAGGCAAUGGCUUUUCCCAAAGAGAAGAUCAAUGAAGAAAUGUGUGCCUUGAAAGCUUUAUAAGCCUGGCAAUAUCCCAAUUGCUCACCUCACUGAAGACAACUCUUUUUCAGCAUUUUCAGCCCUUUAGCUAUUCUAGGAAGAAUGAUGCCUUCCUGAUCUGUCCAGGCUCUGCUGUGGAGUUAUUCCCUGUUUACUGCCCUUCUUGGGUCUAUUUUUCUCCAUUUUCUACCAUCAUUUGAUCAUCACCAUGUGUUGCCUCUGGAAUAGACCCCAGAGGAUCCCUUCUCUGCCCGGAAACACUUUGAAUGUUCAAUUCAAACAUCUCUUCACACUUAUUGCUUGGGUUUCUCCCAACUGUGAUUGUGGGUUUUUUUUAAACACAAUAAACUUUUGAUGUUCUGAGGGAA
Molecule: long non-coding RNA, 539 nt
Organism: Herpailurus yagouaroundi (jaguarundi)
Lineage: Eukaryota; Metazoa; Chordata; Mammalia; Carnivora; Felidae
Exons: 2
Source: RefSeq, a predicted model, not a curated record